UACGGAGGAUCCAAGCGUUAUCCGGAUUCAUUGGGCUUAAAGGGUGCGUAGGCGGAUUUGUAAGUCAGUGGUGAAAGCCAACAGCUUAACUGUUGAACUGCCAUUGAUACUGCAAGUCUUGAGUACAUUUGAUGUGGGCGGAAUGUGUCAUGUAGCGGUGAAAUGCUUAGAUAUGACACAGAACACCGAUUGCGAAGGCAGCUCACAAAACUGUAACUGACGCUGAGGCACGACAGCGUGGGGAUCAAACAGG
This 253-nucleotide ribosomal RNA is filed under the name uncultured bacterium. RNAcentral describes it as "partial 16S ribosomal RNA". It matches the Rfam family "Bacterial small subunit ribosomal RNA", at positions 524 to 776 of the family's 1533-position model. The record is from RNAcentral.